AGAAGCACUGGGUAAAUGCACGACUUGUUCUUGCCUUCUAAAGCAGAGAGGAGCUUUUGUGGGUAGUUCCUACAGGGAUACAUGGUAGAAAAUUCACCAAACCCAGUGCUGGAGUGAAGCCCCAGAGAGAUUGGUGAGGGUGAUUUCCCAGGAAGACGCAGUGUGCUCUGACUUCUGUGACAGACAUGCUCUGGAGUCAGAAGACAGCGAAAAGAGAAGCAGAAGCCCCGGUGGCAAGAGUCUGAAGCAGGAAGGAUGACUGUAGCCUGUGGAUUGUACUGCAGUAGGAAACUGUCCUAGCAAGGCUCCACUUUGCCCCAGCUUCAAGCUGGAAAGGAGGAGAACAUGAAACAUUGCUUGAAGACAAUGGCCGAGACAGCAGGUCCCACCCUGCACAGCCACCAGCAUCUCUCCCCUCAGCCCUGUCUCCUCUUCUGCAGUUGGGAUCUGCACAUUUAAGCCUGAAAUUGUCCUGUGAAGUGAAGUAUGAUCGGACAGCCUCUUUUCAGCUUUUAUGACAAUGGAGACAGAGGAAUUGUGGCUCUUGCCAAGGUCACAGGAUUGGAAUACAGAGCCAAGCCACCCCAGGACAUGCAAGAGCCUCAGAAGGGAAAAAAGCCCAGCAGGAAGGGAGAACAAGUAGCCUCUGUCCUGAAGUUGUAACAGCCAGGGGCCAGGAUGGAGGAGGAGGACCCCAUAAUCUGCCCAUCUGGGACUUGGCAGGGGACCUGGGAAAAUGUACCCCAACCCAUCCCUUAAGGGCCUUUGUCUUUGGCCCAUUGGCCUAGC
Molecule: long non-coding RNA, 789 nt
Organism: Homo sapiens (human)
Lineage: Eukaryota; Metazoa; Chordata; Mammalia; Primates; Hominidae
Gene: MIR9-3HG
Product: MIR9-3 host gene
Source: Ensembl